UGCAAGUCGAACGAAGUAGCAAUACUUAGUGGCAGACGGGUGAGUAACAUGUAGGUAUCUACCCUUUGGCCUGGAAUAACACGAGGAAACUUGUGCUAAUACCGGAUAAGUCUUUACGGAGAAAGCUUUAUGCACCAUUGGAUGAGCCUGCACUUGAUUAGUUUGUUGGUGGGGUAAUGGCCUACCAAGACUGUGAUCAAUAGCUGAUUUGAGAGGAUGAUCAGCCACAUUGGGACUGAGACACGGCCCAAACUCCUACGGGAGGCAGCAGCGGGGAAUCUUGCACAACGGAGGAAACUCUGAUGCAGCGAUGCCGCGUGAGUGAAGAAGGCCCUUGGGUUGUAAAGCUCUUUCGUCGGGGAAGAAAAUGACUGUACCCGAAUAAGAAGGUCCGGCUAACUUCGUGCCAGCAGCCGCGGUAAUACGAAGGGACCUAGCGUAGUUCGGAAUUACUGGGCUUAAAGAGUUCGUAGGUGGUUGAAAAAGUUAGUGGUGAAAUCCCAGAGCUUAACUCUGGAACUGCCAUUAAAACUUUUCAGCUAGAGUAUGAUAGAGGAAAGCAGAAUUUCUAGUGUAGAGGUGAAAUUCGUAGAUAUUAGAAAG
This 603-nucleotide ribosomal RNA is filed under the name uncultured marine bacterium. RNAcentral describes it as "bacterial SSU rRNA". It matches the Rfam family "Bacterial small subunit ribosomal RNA", at positions 56 to 704 of the family's 1533-position model. The record is from RNAcentral.